This 253-nucleotide ribosomal RNA is filed under the name uncultured bacterium. Its description in RNAcentral is "partial 16S ribosomal RNA". It matches the Rfam family "Bacterial small subunit ribosomal RNA", at positions 524 to 776 of the family's 1533-position model. The record is from RNAcentral.
UACGUAGGUGGCAAGCGUUGUCCGGAAUUAUUGGGCGUAAAGCGCGCGCAGGCGGUCCUUUAAGUCUGAUGUGAAAGCCCUCGGCUCAACCGAGGAGGGUCAUUGGAAACUGGAGGACUUGAGUGCAGAAGAGGAAAGUGGAAUUCCAAGUGUAGCGGUGAAAUGCGUAGAUAUCGGAAGGAACAUCAGUGGCGAAGGCGACUUCCUGGACCAAUACUGACGCUCAGGUGCGAAAGCGUGGGGAGCAAACAGG